This 301-nucleotide ribosomal RNA is filed under the name uncultured bacterium. RNAcentral's name for it is "partial 16S ribosomal RNA". It matches the Rfam family "Bacterial small subunit ribosomal RNA", at positions 509 to 810 of the family's 1533-position model. The record is from RNAcentral.
CAGUCGCCACGGUAACACGUAGGUGGCGAGCGCUGUCCGGAAUUAUUGGGCGUAAAGGGGGCGCAGGCGGGCGAGUAAGUCUUUCUUAAAAGUGCGGGGCUCAACCCCGUGAGGGGAGAGAAACUACUCAUCUUGAGUGCAGGAGAGGAAAGCGGAAUUCCUAGUGUAGCGGUGAAAUGCGUAGAUAUUAGGAAGAACACCAGUGGCGAAGGCGGCUUUCUGGACUGUAACUGACGCUGAGGCUCGAAAGCCAGGGGAGCGAACGGGAUUAGAUACCCGCGUAGUCCCUGUCUCUUAUACU